RNAcentral lists this ribosomal RNA (253 nucleotides) under uncultured bacterium. RNAcentral's name for it is "partial 16S ribosomal RNA". It matches the Rfam family "Bacterial small subunit ribosomal RNA", at positions 524 to 776 of the family's 1533-position model. The record is from RNAcentral.
UACGUAGGUGGCAAGCGUUGUCCGGAAUUAUAGGGCGUAAAGCGCGCGCAGGUGGUUCCUUAAGUCUGAUGUGAAAGCCCACGGCUCAACCGUGGAGGGUCAUUGGAAACUGGGGAACUUGAGUGCAGAAGAGGAAAGUGGAAUUCCAAGUGUAGCGGUGAAAUGCGUAGAGAUUUGGAGGAACACCAGUGGCGAAGGCGACUUUCUGGUCUGUAAAUGACACUGAGGAGCGAAAGCGUGGGGAGCAAACAGG